This 328-nucleotide unclassified non-coding RNA is filed under the name soil metagenome. RNAcentral describes it as "partial contains 5.8S ribosomal RNA, internal transcribed spacer 2, and large subunit ribosomal RNA". The stretch from base 1 to 120 matches the Rfam family "5.8S ribosomal RNA", at positions 35 to 154 of the family's 154-position model. The record is from RNAcentral.
GAUGAAGAACGCAGUGAAAUGCGAUAAGUAAUGCGAAUUGCAGAAUUCAGUGAAUCAUCGAAUCUUUGAACGCACAUUGCGCCCCUUGGUAUUCCGAGGGGCAUGCCUGUUCGAGCGUCAUUAUAACCCUCAAGCUCAGCUUGGUGUUGGGGCCUGCUGCACUGGCAGCCCUUAAAAUCAGUGGCGGCGCCAUCUGGCUCUAAGCGUAGUAAUUCUUCUCGCUAUGGAGUCCUGGUGGAUGCUUGCCAUCAACCCCCAAUUUUUCUAUGGUUGACCUCGGAUCAGGUAGGGAUACCCGCUGAACUUAAGCAUAUCAAUAAGCGGAGGA